UUGGAUGACCUGCCUUCGAGACGGGGACAACAGUCCGAAAGGACUGCUAAUACCCGAUGGUCCGCUCCGGAUUCGUCCGGGACGGUAAAUGGUUGAUUCCGCUCGAUGAGGGGUCCAAGUCCUAUCAGCUAGUUGGUGAGGUAACGGCUCACCAAGGCUUUGACGGGUAGGCGGACUGAGAGGUCGACCGCCCACAUCGGGACUGAGACACUGCCCGGACUCCUACGGGAGGCUGCAGUCGAGAAUCUUCUGCAAUGGGCGCAAGCCUGACAGAGCGACGCCGCGUGGAGGACGAAGGCCCUCGGGUUGUAAACUCCUGUCACACGUUAUGAAAUGUACGGGUUACACCCGUGCACUGACAAAGGCGUGGGAGGAAGUCACGGCUAACUUCGUGCCAGCAGCCGCGGUAAGACGAAGGUGGCUAGCGUUAUUCGGAUUCACUGGGCAUAAAGCGCGCGUAGGCGGCUCUUCAAGUCGGGGGUGAAAGCCUGCAGCUCAACUGCGGAACUGCCUUCGAUACUGUCGAGCUU
This 530-nucleotide ribosomal RNA is filed under the name uncultured Planctomycetota bacterium. Its description in RNAcentral is "bacterial SSU rRNA". It matches the Rfam family "Bacterial small subunit ribosomal RNA", at positions 117 to 643 of the family's 1533-position model. The record is from RNAcentral. Lineage: Bacteria; Pseudomonadati; Planctomycetota.